This 449-nucleotide ribosomal RNA is filed under the name uncultured bacterium. RNAcentral describes it as "partial 16S ribosomal RNA". It matches the Rfam family "Bacterial small subunit ribosomal RNA", at positions 39 to 523 of the family's 1533-position model. The record is from RNAcentral.
GCGGCAGGCCGGAGGCAUGCAAGUCGAACGAGAAAGUGUAGCAAUACAUGAGUAGAGUGGCGCACGGGUGAGUAACACGUGGGAACAUACCUUAAAGUGGGGGAUAACAGUUGGAAACGACUGCUAAUACCGCAUAAACCCUUCGGGGGAAAGAUUUAUCGCUUUAAGAUUGGCCCGCGUUGGAUUAGCUUGUUGGUGAGGUAAUGGCUCACCAAGGCAGUGAUACAUAGCUGGUCUGAGAGGAUGACCAGCCACACUGGGACUGAGACACGGCCCAGACUCCUACGGGAGGCAGCAGCUAGGAAUAUUGGACAAUGGGCGAAAGCCUGAUCCAGCCAUGCCGCGUGAGUGAAGAAGGCCGUCGGGUUGUAAAGCUCUUUUAGUUAUGAAGAUGAUGACUGUAGUAACAGAAAAAGCACCGGCUAACUUCGUGCCAGCAGCCGCAGUAA